RNAcentral lists this ribosomal RNA (403 nucleotides) under Fusobacteriota bacterium. RNAcentral's name for it is "Fusobacteria bacterium partial 16S ribosomal RNA". It matches the Rfam family "Bacterial small subunit ribosomal RNA", at positions 355 to 776 of the family's 1533-position model. Lineage: Bacteria; Fusobacteriati; Fusobacteriota. The record is from RNAcentral.
UGGGGAAUUUUGCACAAUGGAGGAAACUCUGAUGCAGCGACGCCGCGUGAGUGAUGAAGAUCUUCGGAUUGUAAAACUCUGUCCUUAGUGAAGAUAAUGACAGUAACUAAGAAGCAAGCCCUGGCUAAAUACGUGCCAGCAGCCGCGGUAAUACGUAUGGGGCAAGCGUUGUCCGGAAUUAUUGGGCGUAAAGGGUACGUAGGCGGUUUAAUAAGUCCUAAUUAAAAGGCUAUGGCUCAACCAUAGUAUGGUUGGGAAACUGUUGAACUUGAGUAGAUGAGGGGAAAGUGGAAUUCCAUGUGUAGCGGUGAAAUGCGUAGAUAUAUGGAGGAACACCAAUGGCGAAGGCAACUUUCUGGAAUCAAACUGACGCUGAGGUACGAAGGCGUGGGGAGCAAACAGG